Molecule: ribosomal RNA, 458 nt
Filed under: uncultured bacterium
Lineage: Bacteria
Description: partial 16S ribosomal RNA
Rfam family: Bacterial small subunit ribosomal RNA
Source: RNAcentral
CCUACGGGUGGCAGCAGUGGGGAAUAUUGCACAAUGGGGGCAACCCUGAUGCAGCGACGCCGCGUGAGUGAAGAAGUAUUUCGGUAUGUAAAGCUCUAUCAGCAGGGAAGAAAUAGCGACCUUUGGGUCGCCAGACGGUACCUGAUUUAGAAGCCCCGGCUAACUACGUGCCAGCAGCCGCGGUAAUACGUAGGGGGCAAGCGUUUUCCGGAUUUACUGGGUGUAAAGGGAGCGUAGACGGCAGCGCAAGUCUGAAGUGAAAUGCCGGGGCUUAACCCCGGAACUGCAUUGGAAACUGUGCAGCUAGAGUGCAGGAGAGGUAAGGGGAAUUCGUGGUGUAGCGGUGAAAUGCGUAGAUAUUAGGAGGAACACCAGUGGCGAAGGCGGCUUACUGGACUGUAACUGACGUUGAGGCUCGAAAGCGUGGGGAGCAAACAGGAUUAGAUACCCCUGUAGUC